Molecule: ribosomal RNA, 253 nt
Filed under: uncultured bacterium
Lineage: Bacteria
Description: partial 16S ribosomal RNA
Rfam family: Bacterial small subunit ribosomal RNA
Source: RNAcentral
UACAGAGGGUGCGAGCGUUGUCCGGAAUCACUGGGCGUAAAGGGCGCGUAGGUGGCGCUGCAAGUCGGUGGUGAAAGCUCGAUGCUUAACAUCGAGUCGGCCAUCGAAACUGCAGGGCUCGAGCACUGUAGGGGCAGAUGGAAUUCCGGGUGUAGCGGUGGAAUGCGUAGAGAUCCGGAAGAACACCGGUGGCGAAGGCGGUCUGCUGGGCAGUUGCUGACGCUGAGGCGCGACAGCGUGGGGAGCAAACAGG